CCUACGGGUGGCAGCAGUGAGGAAUAUUGGUCAAUGGACGAGAGUCUGAACCAGCCAAGUAGCGUGAAGGAUGACUGCCCUAUGGGUUGUAAACUUCUUUUAUAUGGGAAUAAAACGUUCCACGUGUGGGGUUUUGUAUGUACCAUAUGACUAAGGAUCGGCUAACUCCGUGCCAGCAGCCGCGGUAAUACGGAGGAUCCGAGCGUUAUCCGGAUUUAUUGGGUUUAAAGGGAGCGUAGGUGGGCUGUUAAGUCAGUUGUGAAAGUUUGCGGCGCAACCGUAAAAUUGCAGUUGAAACUGGUAGUCUUGAGUAUAGGAGAGGCAGGCGGAAUUCGUGGUGUAGCGGUGAAAUGCUUAGAUAUCACGAAGAACUCCGAUUGCGAAGGCAGUUCACUGGACUGCAACUGACACUGAGGCUCGAAAGUGUGGGUAUCAAACAGGAUUAGAUACCCGUGUAGUC
Molecule: ribosomal RNA, 460 nt
Filed under: uncultured bacterium
Lineage: Bacteria
Description: partial 16S ribosomal RNA
Rfam family: Bacterial small subunit ribosomal RNA
Source: RNAcentral